RNAcentral lists this long non-coding RNA (1586 nucleotides) under Sus scrofa (pig). Its description in RNAcentral is "lncRNA (ENSSSCG00065004663.1)". Lineage: Eukaryota; Metazoa; Chordata; Mammalia; Artiodactyla; Suidae. The record is from RNAcentral.
AUCUAUUGCUCACUUCCUCUAUUCUCUGUUCCCUGGGGCGGCUCUUCCAAAGGAAGCAAAGUUGCUUCAGGCCACUUCUGUUGUUCUCAGACAAAUUAGCCUAUGUAGGCAUCCAUUUCCUCAUUUGUGAAAUAAGAAAAACCCACUUCUUUGGAUUGUUGUGGGGGAUAUAUUUUAUACAGAAGUACAUUGUGUGUGUGUGCAAGCCUAGGACAAAACAUUUCUGAAUAAAUUCAGAUACCUUCCCCACACCUCACCCUAUUAAAAGCAGAACGAACUGGAGGAAGGGCAUAUUUCUUCCCUGUUCAGAACUUUUACUGGCACUCCACGCCCUAUGAGAUUAAGAACAAACCCUGCCUUGUAUUCAAAACCUUUACCAUAAAACUCCACUUCUCACUCCUCAUGGAACAUGAUCUGCAUUUGCUCACCUGUAUACUCUUCUCCUGUCCCUUUCUCUGCUUGUACUGGUCUCUCUCAAUUUUGCCAAAAUGUUAUCCAUCACUUGAGUCUCAAAAAGUGUGGAAAUUCUACACAAAUCAAAUUUCGGAGACUUAGACCCUUCGCAGUCCACAAGCUUAUCAAUUCUCAGAGCUUCAAGUUCAGGUAGAGCUUGGGUCCUGAUCUCUCUGAUAACUUCGACUUGUCUAUACCCUGGGGUUAGUCAUUCAUAAUAAUGCAUCAGUAGUAGUUCACCACCUGUCACAAAUGUACCACACCAAUGUAAGAAGAUAAUAACCAGGCAGGUAUAUUUCUCACCAUCCACUCUUAAACUUGGUACUCUGCCUACCUCCAUUCUUUUUAUGGAUCCUAUUGAAUAAUUUGUUAUUUCUUUUACAUUUGAAAAGAUACAAUACAGAAAAAAUUCAUUCUUCAGCAAACACUUGUUGAAUACCAUUUACUAAUUACAUAAGUUUUACUAUAAUAAUACUAAAGUACUGGAACAUAGUGCUUUAAUACAUUUCUGAUGAGAUCUGAAAGUUAGAUUCAUUUGUAAUAGAUGGUAUUUUGGCUCAAAAUAUCCAUUGCCUCUUCCAUAGGGCCCCAGCCUAUGGGAGGAAGACAUACCUGUGCUCAGAGCAGGCUUGGUCAUGCGACUUGCUUUGAUCAUUUGAUCAUUGGAAUAGGACUGGAGCAGACCCACUUUUUUUUUUUUCCUUUUUAGGGCUGCACCCACAGCAUACGGAGGUUCUCAGGCUAGUGGUCAAAUUGGAGCUGCAGGCUGCCCGCCUACGCCACAGCCAUAGCAAUGCGGGAUCUGAGCUGCUUCUGCGACCUACACCGCAGUUCACAGCAACAUCAGAUCCUUAACCCACUGAGCGAGGCUAGGGAUCGAACCCACAACCUCAUGGUUCCUAGUCAGAUUCGUUUCCGCUGUGCCACGAUGGGAAUGCCUGUCCUAUUUCUGAAAGAGCUUUAAGAGUCAUUCUCUGGUCGGUCACCACCCCCUCUUUUUCAUUCCGACAUGAAACUGCCAUGUUUUAGAUAGGGCUGCAUUUUCAUCCUUGGUUCUGACAUGACAAAGACAUGAAACUGAGUCAAAUCUGACCCCAGUAUAGACAUGAGAAAUAAACCUUUGUUGUGAGCCA